GGGAAACUGACGCUAAUACCGGAUGAUGACGWAAGUCCAAAGAUUUAUCGCCCAGGGAUGAGCCCGCGUAGGAUUAGCUAGUUGGUGAGGUAAAGGCUCACCAAGGCGACGAUCCUUAGUUGGUCUGAGAGGAUGAUCAGCCACACUGGGACUGAGACACGGCCCAGACUCCUACGGGAGGCAGCAGUAGGGAAUAUUGGACAAUGGGGGCAACCCUGAUCCAGCAAUGCCGCGUGA
RNAcentral lists this ribosomal RNA (237 nucleotides) under uncultured bacterium. Its description in RNAcentral is "partial 16S ribosomal RNA". It matches the Rfam family "Bacterial small subunit ribosomal RNA", at positions 151 to 404 of the family's 1533-position model. The record is from RNAcentral.